GUGCCUGAGAUCAUGAACGUCGAGCAGAGCAUCGUGCAUGAAAUUAUGACCAAACAGCUUGUCUGGUAUGGUCAUGUUCAACGAAUGGCGGAUGAUAGGUUGCCUAAGAAGGUACUAGAUCGGGUUCCUUCUGGGAGAAGAGGUAGGGGACGUCCAGCAAAAUCGUGGAUAGGUGGCAUUCAAGAUGAAAUCACAAGAUGCCAUUUACCAGAUGACCUCUGGAUCGAUAGGCAAGGAUGGCGAUUAGGUGUGGCAGAUUAGGGCGCGCUAUAAAGCGACUCGAAUGUAUGUAUGUCUUGCCAACAUUUGUGAAGCUUUCACAUCGAUUACUUUUCCCAUUUUAUCUACGAUUUUCUCUGAACUCCAUCUUGUAAGCAAUUACGAUUCUUUUGCCUUUACUGACCAUACUCUUGUUUAAGCUCUUUCUGAAGAAUGUCUGUUUGUUUCAUUGGUGUGUAUUGUCAAACAUAAAAAUGUUGUUAAUUGUCUCACAAUUACAUUUAUUUACUUCGUUCCUUUUUUUCCACCAUCUGCCUAGAAUGCAGUGCAAUAUCAAGACCAGUGUCAAGACCAGUUUCCAGAUCAAAAUCAAGACCUUCAAGAUUGGAAUGAAUGGAACGAUGAGCCAUUGUCCCUGUAACUUUUGAUCAGCCACCACCAACAUUCACUCCAACGGUCGCUCCACCUCAUCCAACAGUGUCCGAGCCAUCCUCUCUUCCAUUUCAGUCAGAAUCGAUGACUCCUACAAGAGGGGCCAAUACAGAUGUAAUUAGUGGAUAUCAAAGGUUUACAAACCAAGGUGGAGGAAUUCAGCCUUUCAAUAGUAAUAUUAAUCAGGACUGGAAAUGGCAAUCGCCUUCCUCUGUGCCAUCACCAGUUAAUCAAAGCAACAACAACCAAUUACCAUCCUACCAGACGCAGUUAAAUCACGGCAACAGCUGCCUCAGCAGCAGCAGCAACAACAAAACCACCAACUUUUCCAUCAAAAUCCAUCCCAACACCAUCAACAACAACACAAUCAGUUCCAGCAGCAGAAUCAGCUCCAACAACAGAAUCAGCUCCAGCAACAGAAUCAGCUUCAACAACAGAAUCAGCUCCAGCAACAGAAUCAGCUCCAGCAACAGAACCAACUUCAGCAGCAAAGUCAGUUGCAACAACAAGAAAAUGCUGCUGUUGAAAACAUCAAUAGCAUUCUAACCGACUUGAAUAUCAAUAAUGAUCAACCAUUAGAAGCAUCACCCUACUGGAGUGAUGUUGAUACAAAUCUGGUUGUAGAAACUAAUGAUUCUAGCAGUGAAUGGCAGCCGCAAGAGCCAACACCUUCCAGUCUAGAAA
Molecule: long non-coding RNA, 1335 nt
Filed under: Bemisia tabaci
Lineage: Eukaryota; Metazoa; Arthropoda; Insecta; Hemiptera; Aleyrodidae
Description: lncRNA ENSSSA3NGG006159
Source: RNAcentral